This 490-nucleotide ribosomal RNA is filed under the name uncultured bacterium. RNAcentral's name for it is "partial 16S ribosomal RNA". It matches the Rfam family "Bacterial small subunit ribosomal RNA", at positions 30 to 507 of the family's 1533-position model. The record is from RNAcentral.
AUUGAACGCUGGCGGCAGGCCUAACACAUGCAAGUCGAACGGUAACAGGAAACAGCUUGCUGUUUCGCUGACGAGUGGCGGACGGGUGAGUAAUGUCUGGGAAACUGCCUGAUGGAGGGGGAUAACUACUGGAAACGGUAGCUAAUACCGCAUAACGUCGCAAGACCAAAGAGGGGGACCCUCGGGCCUCUUGCCAUCGGAUGUGCCCAGAUGGGAUUAGCUUGUUGGUGGUGGAACGGCUCAACAAGGGUACGAUCGCUAGCUGAUCUGAGGGUAGGACCAGCCACACUGGAACUGAGACACGGUCAAGACGCCUGCGGGAGGCAGCAGUGGCGAAUAUUGCACAGUGGGCGCAAGCCUGAUGCAGCCAUGCCGCGUGUAAGAAGAAGGCCUUCGGGUUGGAAAGUACUUUUAGCGGGGAGGAAGCGAGUAAGCCUAAUACCUUGGCUCAUUGACGUUAAUCGGAAAAGAAGCACCGGCUAACUCCGUG